Molecule: long non-coding RNA, 482 nt
Organism: Ipomoea triloba (trilobed morning glory)
Lineage: Eukaryota; Viridiplantae; Streptophyta; Magnoliopsida; Solanales; Convolvulaceae
Exons: 3
Source: RefSeq, a predicted model, not a curated record
ACGAGAAGCUUGGGGAGAAGAGCGAAUUAGAGCUUUACCUGGUCUUUGGGAGAUCCGGCUCAUCAGCGGCGACGGUUGCGCGUUGAAAUCGACAGGCUAAGCAGUAUAAAAAGGAAGCCAAAGUUCAUCGUUUUUUAUCAUCAAUUGGCCCGGACCAAUUCAGGAGGCGGUUCUAAGCUUCCCCACAGCGGUAAUAUUUUUGGUCCGGCGGAGAUUUCCGGUGGACGGAAACCGUUUCUAGGCAGCUCUGGUUUGGCGGCGUGGUGGCAGCUCUAUACAGAGUCUGGGCACAGCAUAUUAAUCGCAGCAGAUUAGCAAUUGGCACAUCACGAUUCUGUCAACAUAAAUGUUCGUUGGCUGGGUUUUCCAAGGGCAUCCAAACACAGCCUAAGUUAUGAUGUGCUCAUGCGUCCACCUAGGCGCCGCUUAGGCGCAAGGGGCUGCCCGGGCACCCGAUUAGUACCUAGCGCCUACUGCAACAU